GGGAAUUUAAAUGGUCGGGUAAUAUGGAUGACGUAACCGGAUUAAUGCGCGUCAUGGACUGCUGAUUAACAGCUGAUGCACGCUUGACGACGUGGCCUGCCAGAACUAACGCGAAGGACAAAACGUCCUGUCACUGUUGGACAUCACUCAUCCUUCUAUGCCAGAGGCUGCUACUGCUCUAAUUGAAUUCAUUAAUGGAUUAAGGGGCCUGGACAAGAACACCCCCUGAGGCAGGUGGCUCCACGCUAGUUUCUUUGUCACUUGAUCCUGUGGAGGAGGACAAGCUACAACGAAGCCCCUAUUCCCUCCCUAGAGCUUCUGGGCAUUUGGUAGGCUUGCUCAGUGUCUGGCUGCCUUGAUCUCCAUCAUUUAGCUCCAUGGCAACACCAUGUGUGGCCCGUCGUACUCUGUACAGACCGUCCAAGCAACAAGGAGGGGUUGUGACCUUGCGUGAACUUUGACUUUAGACUCUCUGUUGACAUGAAGCUGGGUAAUAAAAAUCAAAUCACUUGCCUUUAUGAAGUGCAGGUGGAGAGACAUGCUGCUUAAUCAAAGGAGCACACAUCAGGGAGUAGGAGGCCUGGAGAGGGCUGGACAAGACAGAUGGACACAAUUAGACAGAGACCUGGACCUGGACUUGCACUUUACUCAGAAGUCCUCUGAACAGAAUCCAGAUGCAUACAGAUAAUUGCUAAUGUGUAUUUAACUUUGUAAAAGGGAUAUUUUCCUCCUACUGUAUUUGUUUGUGAUUCAUUUAUGUAGGGUUUUCACAAUUUUGAAUCUGAAAUCAUGUAUGAAGCAUGGAUAAAACUACAGCUGGGUCCAAAGGACUGAGACCACAAAUGUUGAGAAUGUUUGUAAUAUUUAUAUGACUUUCAGAGUUUAUUAUUUAGUAAUUUUUUUUUGCUUUAAUAACAGUGUGACUUGAAGCCUUCUGAUGGUUCAGUGCAGGAUCCUGUGCUCUAAUUGCUGCACCCCUGGUUUGAUUCCCGGGCAGGGAGCUAAUCCCACCACUAAAUGGCUAACUCUUAUUGCCAGUCACAAGCCUGUAUAAAAUGGGAGGGUUGUGUCAGGAAGGGCAUUCGGCAUAAAACCACUAACAAAUCAAAUACGAUCUGCUGUGAAACAGGGAGCAUCUAAAGGAAGAACAACAAUGACAGUGUGACUUGAGCUGGCAUGGACUCCACAAGUUUGUGGCAAAAGCUUAUGAUCCAAUUCAGAUCAAAUCCACAUGCUUCAAUAGAAGAGAUUAGAUAUGAGGAAAAUCUGACCUUUAAUACAAAGUAGUUAACAAGGUCAAUAUCACACAUUCACUUGAAUUUAAAUAGAGAUCUGUAAAUUAAUUUAUAAAUAUUCACUAAUAUUCAUUAAAAAUACAUAUUGAAGGUU
This is a long non-coding RNA of Tachysurus fulvidraco (yellow catfish), 1389 nucleotides long. RefSeq lists it as uncharacterized. The transcript has 2 exons. NCBI's taxonomy places the organism in Eukaryota, Metazoa, Chordata, Actinopteri, Siluriformes, Bagridae. The record is from RefSeq and is a predicted model, not a curated record.